UCGCUCCUACCGAUUGGAUGAUCCGGUGAAAUUUUCGGACUGUCGCAUGUUGGUGGCAACACCUCAUGUGAUAGGAAGUUACUUAAACCUUAUUAUCUAGAGGAAGGAA
RNAcentral lists this ribosomal RNA (109 nucleotides) under uncultured eukaryote. Its description in RNAcentral is "partial small subunit ribosomal RNA". It matches the Rfam family "Eukaryotic small subunit ribosomal RNA", at positions 1676 to 1785 of the family's 1831-position model. The record is from RNAcentral.